This is a ribosomal RNA of Danio rerio (zebrafish), 117 nucleotides long. NCBI's taxonomy places the organism in Eukaryota, Metazoa, Chordata, Actinopteri, Cypriniformes, Danionidae. The record is from Ensembl.
CAUUACAGCCAUGUCACCCUGCAGCCCAAGACUGUAUACUCACUGAAGCUAAGCAGGGCUGAGCCUGGUGAGUACCUGGAUGGGAGACCACAUGGGGCAACUAGGUUGCUGUUGGAA